Equus caballus (horse) is the source of this 2256-nucleotide non-coding RNA. The record is from RefSeq and is a predicted model, not a curated record. Lineage: Eukaryota; Metazoa; Chordata; Mammalia; Perissodactyla; Equidae.
UAAGAGUCCAACUUCAUUCUUUUGCAUAUGGGUAUCCAAUUUUUCUAGCAUCAUUUGUUGAAAAGACCAUCCUUUCCGUAUUGAAUUGUGCUGGCAACCCCAUACAAUUUUUAAAAAUCAAUUCAUUAAACAUUUCAUUUUAAGGUCUUCGAGGAAAUAGAAGUUCUUUUCUCUCAACUGUAACUAGAGGCUGAAGCUCUUAGGUGAUUAUAAAAGUAUGUUGUAUUAUAAAUGCAGGUUAAAAAAAUUUUAAUAUAUCACUGAGUUCAACACGAUCAAUCAAGAAAUCUAAGUACGCAUUCCAAUAUAUGACUUUUAUAGUUGCCCUGGGAGCACAGCUCCAUGAGAUUGCACAGGGUGGAAAGCUACUGCAUUAAGGCCUGCACCCUAGGCGACAGCCUGAGAGGAGGUUCUGUGGCAGGUGCCGCACCAAAGAAUGGCAUCCUCUUUGUUUCUUGGAAUGUGACACAAAUGCAUUGGAGAAAGCAUGGACUCUUUUUAUUUCGAAUGUGCCCAAACCUAAAAUUAGACCAAGGAAUAUCUAAAUGCCAGAGAAAUUUGGCAGAAGCCAUUUAAGCAAGAAAUUCUAACAUCUAUUUAUUCAAAACCUGUUAAAUAAUGUAUUACAAAAAGAUGGUAUGGCUAACCAUUUUGUUCAUAUUCCUUCUCCACUAUCUCCAUUUCUUUGCCAAAUAACUUAGAUGAGUGUUAAUUAUUAAAAUGGUCACAUUUUAGUCAAGUGACCAAUCCUUAAUUAAGCUCUGACCUUGUACUUAUUGUGCUUUGCUUGGUGUAAUUUAGCAGUUUUUUAGAGACAAUCUUCGUAUCCCUUUCACAGUUUUCUCAGGCUCAGCUUUUCCAUUUUGAAACCUUAGAUUACCACAGUAAUCUUGAUUUUACAGCAAAUGGGCACAGAACAUGAUAGAUCUAUGCCAAUGCAAUUAUGGCAAGCGUCUUGGUGCAGUAGGUAACAAGGAGCCGACCUGUGGCGCUUCUCCCCACAGUGCUCAUCCCCACCCCAAAGUAUGUAAUCCAUUAGCUCUCCUUUGGAGGCCAGAGAAUCUCCUCUACAAAUCUGACCUGUGUGUUCUGCCAUGCGCUUGACAUCUCCUCCCAGAGUGGGAGAACACCAUCUGGGCACCGGAUGCUGUUAAUAAUAAAAUGCAUUUAAAAGAAGUAGUUAUUUCUUCCUUGGAUCAGAACUGCAUGUUCUAUACUGUACUCUUAAGUGUUUUUUUCAUCGGGGCGUGUUAGCAGUGAUAACGAACAAAGACCAGAUUCCUUAUUCAAAGGGUGGUUAGCUCUCAAAAGUUGAAGCUGGUUCCUCAGUGGAUCCGUGGAUUUGAGGAUAAAGUUCAGGUGUGCUUGAGACCACAGCUACAGGUCUGCUUUGAGGACAAUGAAACCCAGAUAAGGAGGCAGCGACCUUUGGGGUUUGGGGGGACACAAGAAAAAACGAACAUAAACCACCAGAGUGGAGUCAGUAACUCAGCAAAAAAUCCAGAGUUUAUAUUGAGAAGACUUCCUUGGUUUGGGGUUUUGAGGGGCUCAUAGAGGGAAUCGGGGAUGCUUGAUUAUACGGUUCUGUUUCCUUUUCGUGGUCUCAAGUUUUUAAAGAAUGUUUUGUGUGUGUGUCUUUAGAAUUGGUGAAGGAAUGAACCUCACUUUUUUAAUCCCUGAGCUUCUCAAACCAUGAGUCACUGGAGCAUUGUCCUCCAAGGCAGGCUUACAAAGCUGACGGUGAAUGGAUCACAGGUCAGGUGCAGAGCUUUCGUCUCCGAGAAAUGAUCAAGCAAGGAAACACCCACAGGCACAGGCACGACUCCAGGAAUCCGGCAUCGGCACCGAAGUCAGAGCCUGGCCCUGGACAGCUUUGGUGCUUUCUCUUACGAUGGAGUCCGUGCACACAUUUCACUUCUCCCGGUGCCCUCCGGCACCGAGAGUCCAGUUUGCCAACUGCAGCACCAUGCAUGGACGUCUUUCCCUGUCGGUGCGCACAGCGGAAAGCCGUGGCCGCAGUGGACGUCCGGAGGUGAGCCUGGACGCCACGGGGUCCUGGGGAUGGCGCUGGAAGAUUCUAUAGAAGCAUUUCUGUGAGGAGAGAGGGGACGGACGGACAGGAAAUGUCCUGAGCUACUUGAGUCCUUCAGCAGUUUCUCUUCAGGCAAGUUUUCUUCUCUUUUAAAUAUAUAACUAUAAUGUAUUUGAAUAUGUAAAUAUAACUAAAAUUUGUGAGAAUGGGGCUGGCUGCCAGGG